RNAcentral lists this non-coding RNA (199 nucleotides) under Geosporobacter subterraneus. RNAcentral describes it as "T-box sequence". It matches the Rfam family "T-box leader". From Rfam's summary of the family: Uncharged tRNA acts as the effector for transcription antitermination of genes in the T-box leader family. T-boxes are found upstream of many aminoacyl-tRNA synthetase genes and some amino acid biosynthetic genes usually in Gram-positive bacteria. The anticodon of a specific tRNA base pairs to a specifier sequence within the T-box motif, and the NCCA acceptor tail of the tRNA base pairs to a conserved bulge in the T-box antiterminator hairpin. The record is from RNAcentral. Lineage: Bacteria; Bacillati; Bacillota; Clostridia; Peptostreptococcales; Thermotaleaceae.
UUAAGUGCAAAGAUAGAGAAUAGUAAAGAUGUGAUGUUUCACAGAAAGCGGAUUAUGGAUGAGAGAUCUGCAAACUAGCUUCUUGAACCCGCUCUGGAGCAUAUGACGAGCAAGUCAAUACGUUGAUCACGUUACGAUUAUGAAAGUGAGCCGAGUUCGGCUAAUUAGGGUGGUACCGCGGGUAACUCUCGUCCCUUCA